Papio anubis (olive baboon) is the source of this 4540-nucleotide long non-coding RNA. The record is from Ensembl. NCBI's taxonomy places the organism in Eukaryota, Metazoa, Chordata, Mammalia, Primates, Cercopithecidae.
AUGCUCCUCUCCUCUGGUGCCAUGCAGGUUUCCCACUGGCCAAGUCCAACCAGCAGCCAUGGGACCCAGAAGCUCAGUGAUAGAGUCCAUAUAGGUUGGUCUCCACCAGCAAAGAAUAGAGCAGAGAAAGGAGUUUCGCCCUUGUCGCCCAGGCUGGAGUGCAAUGGCACAAUCUCAGCUCACCAAACCUCUGCCUUCCGGGUUCAAGUGAUUCUCCCGCCUCAGCCUCCCAAGUAGCUGGGAUUACAGGUGUGUGCCACCAUGCCCAACUAAUUUUUGUAUUUUUAGUAGAGAUGGGGUUUCAACAUGUUGACCAGGCUGGUCUCGAACUCCUGACCUCAGGUGAUCCACCUGCCUUGGCCUCCCAAAGUGCUGGGCUUACCGGCAUGAGCCACCGCGCCCGGCCUUAUGACUUCUUUAUGUUUCACUUUCCUUAUCUGUAAAACGGGUAUACCAGAAAUAAUAGUAGCUACCUUGAAGGGCUUCGGAGGGGCUCAAAUGAACUGAUGUAUGUAGAUUGCUGAGACUAGCAUCUAGCACUAUGUAAAAGCUUUGCUGUUAUUAUUGUGCAAUAAUUAUCCUUUAACAGCUGCCUCUUCUUGCCACCACUUUUAUAAAGACUUCUGUUUGUCCCUUGUAUACAUCUUUCAAAUAUCUACUUUUCAGAUCUUCUCACUUUUUCUAUGCAACUGCUUACUUUACACCUUUCAGUAUUUUUUCACUUAUUUCUCCAAACAACCUCUUUAAAUUUGCCCUAACCUACCAUGAUAUACCAAUAGUAUAUCAGAACUUUCUCAUAUGUUGUUUUUAUUGAUAUAUGUUUAUUCAUAUAUAUGAUGCUAUAAUAUAUAUUGAUGCACAGAACAUGAGAACAACUACUCUGGUUAGUGGCUUUGUGUUUACUCUGGAUCACACCAAUGGCUAACUCAGUUGUUCUCUGCAAUAGUAACAAACAAUGCUUGUUUAAACAACAUACCUUCCAAAGGCCUUAGGUUUUGUUUGUUUGUUCAUUUGUUUUGUUUUUACUAACAUAUUUGAGACUUAACAGCAUCUGCUAAUUUAUCUAAACUUCCCUUCAAAUUAUUGUACUUUCAGCCUUCACCAUAACUUCAGGUAAUGAUUAUAUAAAAUUAUCCUUUCCUCUUAUUUAUCUCCAAACUAAGUUUUCCAAACUUUAAGGGGUAGUUCCUAAUUCUGGAAUUGCAAUUUUCAUUAAAAAGUUAUUUUCUCUACCAAGACUGCAUGAUUUCACAAACUAAUAUCAUUUACUCUUUCCAAACAAUCAUUUCCAGAUUUAUCCUAAUAAUGGGACAGAAUACAAUUCAAAUGGGCAUAGAAAAUGUAGUUUUCUUAUUUUUGCUCUCAUCAUGCUAACUUGAAGCCCAUUCUGGUUUCUCUCUUAAUCUGAUCCAAUAAUUUAAAAGUAUCAUUAGAUAGUCCUUGAUAUCCAGGGGAAAAAAUACUUAUCUCUCAGAAAUGUUGGUCUCCCACCCUUUUGACCUUCUCGUCUCCAACAUGACAUCUCAGGAAACUUUUGAAUUCUUGUAGGAGGGGUAGAGGAUAAGCCUUUUUAUUUCAUUGUCAUUUGUCCAUCUAGGCUGCCACUCACUAUGUUGGCUUCUGGUGGCUGAAGUCUACAGCUGGUAUAAUACAUAGGAUGGGGUCUCUCUGAUUUAUUGGCGUCCAGUGGUGCAUUCUGACCUGCAUGUCCUUCCCUCAGCUCUUGCUGACUCCUCAGGCACUGCCACUGCCAGAGGCUCCGUCCAGUCAGCCUCUAGGCCCGAUGGUCGGCUUUUGCCAUGGAGUCACACCAUCCUGUUCAGAAUGGACCUUGGAAAGUCCACUGUAUUCAUGCCACUUAGGAACUGAGAGGGACUUGGAAGGUGAAAUAAAUCAUCUGGCUGCCAGCUACACCAUUUUGGCUUGUUAAGUAUCUCAUGUUGGCAUAGCUCCAUUCUCCUUCCAGUAUUUUCUUCAAUUUAUCUGUAUAUAUACCAAAAGACAACUUUCUCUGAAGGGUCACCUCCAAGUUGGGGGAUGAAGUAUGGAGAAAGAGACCAUUGAGGUAUUUUCCUUCCCCUUCUCCACUCUUUCCAUCUUCCUAAUUUCUUUCAUAAUACCCUGGGUCUAAAAGAAGUAGAUUGCUCCCUCUUACUGUGUCAUAUCUUUCUUCUACCUAAGCCUAAAAGGCAGAAGAAAUAUUCUCUGGGAGAAACAGGGAAAAUAACUUGAGCAGGUGCUCUAGGUUUGGUUCUUGAAAAAAAUAAGAGAAAAAAGAAUAAUUUAGACAUUCCUCUCUCAAGCAAAUGACUUCUUAUGACCAUAUAAGACUAUUUUAUGGAAAUUUUCAGAUUGAUAUUUCAUUAAUAUAAAACAACAAUUAAAAUGUCAGGAUCUGUUCAUUUUGGAUACUUUUGUAAUUAUCCUAAUUCUCUUUUACAACCACCUGACCUCUUGCCUUCUUCCUUACUAGGGGUUUCCUUGGGUCAAUCAGAAAGGAGGUCAUGAACUCAGAAAGGUAAAAGAAAAAAGCAGACUAUUUCAGAAUAUUACUUCCAAUACACUUACCUAAUUAAUUAAUCUAUUUGAUAAUACCUACAUUCCUUAUAGCAAAUUAAGUAGAGCCUACUCUUAGAUCACAUAUUAUCAUUCUGUGACACUCCCACUGAAUCUUUCUCAAGUUUCAGCAUAUCUUUCUUACCAAGGUAGAAUGACUGCACUGCAACAAAGUGUUCCCGGGUCAGAUGAAUUAUGACAUUGCGCUGUGGUUCAGAGAAAGGAUAAUGUCUUACUGUUUCCUGAUAAUACUUAUUAUUGUGCAGAUCUCAUUUUCUGUGGUUCCCUAUUACUGAUAACUGAUGCUGAGCAUAUGAGAGCUCAAAGCUGAUUAAGGUACUUAUCAGUGGGAAUUCCACUGACUGCAACAGGUGGCUGUGGUGAGAUGCUGGGAGAGAGGAAAGAUAGAGGCAGGCAUUAGUUUCCUCAUUUACUCUGAACCUGUCAUCAAAUUAGGUUAAGAAGCUAGAAAAUGGUUAGCAACAGUUGAUGAAAUCAACUUUUCCUUGUAUUGACUCUAAUGGAAACAAGUUGUAGAACCAACAUCAUGACAGGAAUGUCAGAAAUAUAAAGAAGAAAAAAAUAUUACAUCUUCACGUUAACAAGUGAACAUUUUUAUUUUUUAUUUUCCCAUUCCUAUUCAUAUUUAUUAUAUCAUUUGUAAUAGAUAAAAUCUUACUGAGGGUAACACUCUCAACAUGAGAUGGAUUUCUCAUAAUGUAUUUAUGCUCUAAUUAAAGACAAUUUGACCUUGUAAGAUUAAAAAAACUUUUUGCCCUCAGAAGGUCAAGGCUGCAGGGGGCCGUGAUUGCAACACUGCAAUACAGUCUGGGCAGCAGAGCCAAAAUCUGUCCUAAAAAAAAAAAAAAAAGAUUGGGAAAACCUUUAAGACUAACACAUCAGGACUCUGACUAGUGUUAAAAAAAAAAUGAUGCUUUUUUCUUAUGAAGAACUUACCACUGUAACUGGUCUUACUGUUAAAAUAGCCUAAUUAGUUGACGGGGGGAUACUAAUUUACCAUGACAAAUAUACAAAUUUCCUGGUGUUGCUUUUUAAAUAAACAGAAUCAAAUUAUUUUUGUCUUUAAAAAUACCCGGCCGGGCGCGGUGGCUCAAGCCUGUAAUCCCAGCACUUUGGGAGGCCGAGACGGGCGGAUCACGAGGUCAGGAGAUCGAGACCAUCCUGGCUAACACAGUGAAACCCCGUCUCUACUAAAAAUACAAAAACUUAGCCGGGCGAGGUGGCAGGCGCCUGUAGUCCCAGCUACUCGGGAGGCUGAGGCAGGAGAAUGGCGUGAACCCGGGAGGCGGAGCUUGCAGUGAGUUGAGAUCCGGCCACUGCACUCCAGCCUGGGUGAUAGAGCGAGACUCCGUCUCAAAAAAAAAAAAAAAAAUAAAAAUAAAAAUAAAAAUAAAAAUAAAAAUACCCAUGAGAUUAUUUCUUGUGAUGGAGUAUAAAUGUCUUUAAGCUUUUGUCAUUUAGUUAUCACAUCAUUUUUAGUCUUUCCCAACAGCCUUCAAAGAUAAUUAUCAUUCUUGAAGAUUCUACUGGCUAUAUUUGACUCUUUGCUCUUUGAAUUUUUGGCUUAUUUGAGGGCUAGCUGACAUUUUUAUGAUAUUGAGUCUGCCUAUCUAUGAGCAUAAUAUAUUUUUAAAUUUAUUUAGGUCUUCCUCCUAUAUGUCCUCAAUAAUAAGUCACAAUUUUCUCCAUAAGAGUUUGCACGUUUGAAUAAUUUACAGUUUCUUUAUAUUUCUGUUGCUAUAAAAUUUGUAAUGUUUGUAAAUUUUAAAUCAACAUUGUUGGAGUAUAAUUUUUAUAUGAUAAAAUUAUAUGUGUACAUUUUGAUGAGUUUUGACAAAGGUAUAUACAAAUAUAAUCACAACUCUAAUCAAGGCAUAUAAAACAAUUCUUUCAUGCUUAUUUGUAAGCAGUCCCAAUCUCCACCCCAGCCACAGAAAAACACUGGUCUUCUUUUUGCCGUUUU